RNAcentral lists this long non-coding RNA (4348 nucleotides) under Gallus gallus (chicken). RNAcentral's name for it is "lncRNA (ENSGALG00010020434.1)". The record is from RNAcentral. Lineage: Eukaryota; Metazoa; Chordata; Aves; Galliformes; Phasianidae.
CAACAGGGGAACCUCUGAAAAAAGGAGUCAUUGCUGUUUUGUGCUUUGGAUCAGUAUCUGGAUCCACUGUCCCUGACUCGAGUCAACACUCAGUGUCUCUAAACUCUCUUUGCUUCCUCAUUUUAUCGUCCACUCUCCAACCACUUGUCUUAAUCCACUUAAUUUCCUCCUUGGAGUCCCUCAAGUCCCAAACCUUGCCAUGCUCAGCCUGGUCCAAAGCGGAAGCAGCAGAACCCCCUGCCCCGCUUUGCCUCUGUGCCUUCUCAGGGCCGUGCACAGAGGGUGGGAAGAGGCAGCAGUCAGCAGAGCAGAGGUGGGGCGAGCAGGAAUGCGGGGUGAGACCAAAGAGAUCCUCAGGGAAAUUGCUGCAGCUGCAUUGUUCUGCUUCCUGUGACUCAAAGUGCAACGCCAGUGUGCCCAGGGGGCCGGUGCUGUGAGGUACGAGUGUCACACCGAGUGUGGGCACAACACUAAUGGAAAAUGCUGCUUUAAACUCUUAUCUUAAGCCUUCUGUUCAGCACCCGAGCUCAAAGCCUGCAUCCUUCCAGGUCUGUGAUGCUGUGCACCUGCCAGCUGCAGCGCUCCGAGUUGUCUUUGCAGAGCAGCACAAGCCUGUUGUGACACCUUGGUGCCUUUGGCUCCGCUCCCAUUCUCUAGAAUUGCACUUGGCCUUGCUUUGGCCCUCUGCCCAGCCUGAAUUCGCCUUCUUGGUUUUCACUUAUUUCCCAUAUCACUUUUCUCUCCUGCUUCUCCUCAGGGAUCUGGCUGCAAACCUUCGUGCCCAGGUGGGUGAGCAGCCGCUCCCUCCCAGGGUCCCUUCAUUUGUGAGAGAGAGACGUGGGACGUUUGCAGUUUUUCUUCCUCCUUCCAGCUGAAUGUUAGACAGUUCUUCUCCUGAAUGUCUCUCUUCUCCCUUUUCCUGAAUCGGCCCCUCAGUUUUAUUUCUCUGUGAGCUGUCUGGUUGCUGGUAUUUUAAAAAUAAAUCAAGUAGACCCUGCAAAUGGCCCUGAGAAGGAAGCCUGGCUAGCCCCUGGGAUCAGACACGCAUGGUACACACGUAUAGCUCUGGUUUGCCCACAUCGUUUGGAUAAGGUAUCAGAGAGCACAGACUGCCUUUGCACUGAAGCCUGCAGGUCAAGGAGUUGGCCUCCCUUCAGCCCAGGGGCCGUGUGGCUGCCAGCCCAUAAGCUAAAGCUUAUUUCUGGAACAUGCUGGAAACCCACCUCAGACAACAAUGCGUUUGAUUCCUCCUUUCCAGGCAUGUUCACUUUUGCUUCUUUCUUACGGGGAAGAUUUUGCUUCCAUCUCCCUUCUGCUCUUCUUCUCAAGCCAGCGCAACACAAGGAGAGCCAACCCCGGUCAUUCUUCAAGAGCUGAGUGCCUUCACAGUUAAGCAUAUAAUUAGCCACUUGGAUAAAGUAGGUGUGUGGUGUCACAGAGUCACCAAGCUGAACCUAGGCCUUCUGAAGUCCGAAUCAACUCCAUCAUCAGAGCAGCCUUCCUGUAGGCACGCCAGCACUUGCAGCAUGGCCCAGAACCUCCUGCCUUUGAACUUCCCAGCUUUAGGCUGCUGCGUCAGCGUCUGUGUAUGAUGGAAGCAGUGAAGGGGGAAACAGGUAAUUGCUUAGGGAGGAAAAAGCCAAAAAUGAAACCAUGCCUUGCUGCCACUGACACGAGCUCUGCUCCUGCUCAUGUGCUUUUGGGUAAUAGAUUUUUAGGAGAGAAUGUGGUGGGCUUUGAUUCUGCUUACAGGUGUUGUCUCAGAGCAGAAGAGAACAGAGCAGGCAACAGUGAGUAAGAACACUUCUACCUUGAAAACAAACCCAGAGAACACCUCACUCCUUAGCUCACUCCAUCAAUAACAGAACAGUCUUGCUGCACUGCAGUGAACUGCUAAAAAGUUAUCGUCAGGAAGGACUGGAAGUACUUCUAGCUCUUUCCUUCCCAUAUACCUGCUUCAGAAGGACUAAACCUGUGGGGUGCCUGGAGUGAACUGAGUUGUCCUGCACUAACAUGGAUUGCUUUGCACUAGAGUAAGCCACUGAGGUCUCUGGUGAAGACCUUGCUGCACUUAGCAUGUUUUAGCUAAGUGUGAUGGAUUUGUGUUUAUGUGUCCGUGUGUGUUUAUAUACACAUACAUGGCUAUAAAAGUACAUGGGAUACUGAGUUGAAGUAGGACAGAACUGACAACGCCAGUAUAACCUGCAGCCUCAUUUAGAUGUCCGUGGAGAAGCAGCCUUUCCUCCUGAAGUGAUUUUCCUCAUCACAUGUCUGUGGGAAGCUGAUGCUCUGUUCACACAUAUUCACUACGUAGGCCUAUUUGGUGAGUAUUUUCUAUUAACGGCCCUUGGUCUGCUCGUGGUGAGCACUUCGUCACCGGGCAGGUGGUGCACAUGAGCCCCACCAGCAUCCUGUGGCUGGAGAUGGAAGCCACAAGCCAUGCCCGUGUUCUCCACCUCCGGUCAGAUGGGAAUCCCUAAGAGGAUUCCUCCUCUCUGCUGUCAGGGGAGGACGUUCACAGUCACGAGUCUGAAAUUCAGAGAUGUGCUGACAUUUCCAGGCACUUACAAUAAUGCUCACUGCUGAACUCCUUUGCUGCUGCUGAAAACCAAACAGAACGUGCUCAGAGCAAACUCAUCUAGCAAAUUCAAGCAUGUCCUCCUAGAACUCCUUUUGCAGCAGCUGUCCUGCUCUGCUUAUUUAUGCCUUGCGCUAGCAUCUGAAAUCAUUAAGGCCUCUGAUGAUAGCACAUCUCAAGACACAAUUAAAGGACAAAGACAAAUGUCAGCACCCCGGAGGUGCCACAUGGUUUUGCAGAGCAGCGGAUUUGGCAGUGCUGCAGGAGGAGCGCGGCACUGAAGUGUCAGAGUCACAGCUGAACACAAAGCCCAGUAUCAGUGCUGGAGACACCGAGGUGGUGUGGAUGCUAAGGGUGCUGCCAGCGUUGUGGUGUUCUCAAAACGUAUCUGUGGCUCAACCAAUCUGAAAUGAGUCUUCUCCUCUUAACCACGUGGCCUUACAGUGUUCCUUAGGAGAACGGCAGCCUUGUGGAUGCUCAUCCCUGGAGGUGUUCAAGGCCAGGUUGGAUGGGCCCUGGGCAGCCCGAUCUGGUGCCUGUGUAGUUUGUGGCAACACUGCCUGUGGCAUGGGGGCUGGAAAUGGAUGGUCUUUGGUGGUGAUGGGUUGGAAGUUGGACCUCCACGAUCACCUUGGAGGUCUUUUCCAGCCUUAAUGACUGUAUGAUUCUAUGAAUACAUCCCUUCUGGAGGUCCCUCUCACAUCUCAAGGAUGAUGUUUUGAUGGAAUGGGAAGCAAACGUAGGCUAAAAGCUAUGAUUAUUUCUAGAACGUGCAUGAGAAUAUGGAUAUUCCUCUUGUAACAGUGAUCAAGAAAACCAAUCAGUGUAUAAAUGAUUUUACAACACGUGGCUUCGGUCGUAGAAAUCUAGCAUUGUAGGAGUUGAAAGGGGCCCCUAAAGGUCAUCACGUUCAAUUCCUCUGCAGUGCACAGGGACACCCACAGCUCCAUCAGUGCUCAGAGCCCCGUCCCGUCUGCCCUCGGGGUCUGCAGGGAUGGGGCACCACUGCCUCUCCAGGCAACCUGUGCUGGAGGUGUUUGUAGCACAGGUCGGGAGCCUUUCCAUAGCGUACCAUGAAGAUGGCUUUAGCUGUAUUUUAAAACUGCACUGGUGGGACAGGCCAGCUCUGAAGCAUUCGCAAUCACAAUAAUGUCAGGGUGGCAGUAAGAGCUGUUCCCUUCACCACUGGAGCAGCUGUGCUUGUUUCCAUCGGCUGCACUCGGGCUCUUCAGUGAGGAGCUGCUUUGGAAAAUGUAAUCCCUCGGAGCUGUUUGUUCAGUGCCUUCGCUUUAAUGGACCCGCUUAGGCAGCUGAAAGGAAGGGGUAGGAGGGAAUCGAUCUUAGCACACUUAUGGGCAUCCCCUCCUGUAAUUGAUGUCAUUACAACUUCUCUGACAUGUGACUUUAUUUACUUAUUUACGGCUCCAGGCUUGCUUCUGCCCAAGCACAGAUCUGGUGAGACAAGGGGUUGGGUUUUUUUGGGUUUUGAUUUUUUCUUUCUUUUCCCAAGGCGGGUUGUUUGCAAACUCUGGAGCCCAAAAGGUGCAGCUGCUCUAAAAAUAACACAGGAUACAAGAACUGCUUUGGGGAGGUCCCUCUCUGCCCCAGUCCAAAGGCACCUCCCAAAGUGCUGCCAUGAGUGGGGAAGUUUGUCUUGUAAGCAGAGCUGCCCGAAUUUCUAGGGGUGCUGAAUACUGGAUAUUAGAAAACAUUUCUUCUCCCAAAGAGCAGUGCUGCGUUGGCACAGCUGCCAGGAGUGGUGGAUGGGGU